UACAGAGGGGGCAAGCGUUGUUCGGAUUCACUGGGUUUAAAGGGUGCGUAGGUGGGUUGGUAAGUCAGUGGUGAAAUCCCCGAGCUUAACUCGGGAACUGCCAUUGAUACUAUUAAUCUUGAAUACCGUGGAGGUCAGCGGAAUAUGUCAUGUAGCGGUGAAAUGCUUAGAUAUGACAUAGAACACCAAUUGCGAAGGCAGCUGGCUACACGAAUAUUGACACUGAGGCACGAAAGCGUGGGGAUCAAACAGG
RNAcentral lists this ribosomal RNA (253 nucleotides) under uncultured bacterium. RNAcentral describes it as "partial 16S ribosomal RNA". It matches the Rfam family "Bacterial small subunit ribosomal RNA", at positions 524 to 776 of the family's 1533-position model. The record is from RNAcentral.